Molecule: small nuclear RNA, 104 nt
Organism: Amblyraja radiata (thorny skate)
Lineage: Eukaryota; Metazoa; Chordata; Chondrichthyes; Rajiformes; Rajidae
Source: RefSeq, a predicted model, not a curated record
UGUUUUAGCACAUACAGUAUAGUAAAAUUAGAAUGAUACAGAGAAGAUUCACAUGGUCCCUGUGCAAGGCUGAAAUGCUUAUUCGUGAAGCUUUCCAUAUUUUU